CUGGUUAAUCCUUUUGUCACAGUUCUCCUGUGUGUGUGUGUGUGUGUGUGUAAACUGAAUGGUAACAUUUAAUUGCUUUAUGGACCAUUGAAUUGUUGGGCAAUAAGUUUUUUUUUAAUUGGCAUGAGACAGUACUUAUACUGUCCAAUCACCUGACUUGACCAGUCCUUUGAAAGAGACUCCCAAGCAUAUGACUUUGGACCAACUCCCCUUAGGGCCAUAUAAAUGGAAAUAAUGCCCCUUCGGGUGACAUACUCUCAAAGUGUUUGCUAUUUUCACAAACAUAAAUGCCCAUGUUCUUAAUAUCUGCUCUUUUUUGACCAGUCAUGUUUUGUGCUGUCAUCUGAACCCUAGAGAAGCAGUGUAAGAGGAAACCUUGCUGCCACGUGUGUUUUGGCCAAAAGGUCCAUAUGAUAAGAGGGUCAUGUGACCACAAGAAGCUCCAGAAAAAGCAAAGCGUGAGAACUUGCUUCAGCCUGUGGGGGGAGGGUUGGAGAUACAGAAAACACUCUGCUCUACAGGAGUUUUCCACAAUGUCUAUGUAGGAAAUUCCGUUUUCUCUUUCAACACCCAGGAAGAUUUCAGCUGCCCGCUGAGGCUGACAGGCAAUUCACUAAGCACAAGAAGAAUUUUUUUCCAACCACGGAGUCCCUUGCCUCUCAAAGAAAUGCCCUCCAAGUUUGUUAUGGUUUCUAUUCCUGCAACUUGUGGUAUCAGAGCCACUUCCUGGAAUUGUAAAAGUGCUGCCAGAAUAAAUGUUUUUCCCCUUCUAAGAAAAGAAAAAAAAUGACAGUGCUCAUAUUUGACACUUGUGCAUUGGACUCUCUUUUUGAAUGAAUAAAGAGGAAAGGGUUUGAUGUGAUUCCUGAUGGAGUGUGUGAUGUUUUUCAUGCCACAGUCUGUGAAUUGUAAUUGUGGUUUCUCAGUUCACUGUGGUAUUUGGGCAGAAAUUUAAAA
RNAcentral lists this long non-coding RNA (957 nucleotides) under Marmota monax (woodchuck). Lineage: Eukaryota; Metazoa; Chordata; Mammalia; Rodentia; Sciuridae. The record is from RNAcentral.